This 234-nucleotide long non-coding RNA is filed under the name Elaeis guineensis (African oil palm). RNAcentral's name for it is "long non-coding RNA (EGUI_LNC005541)". The record is from RNAcentral. Lineage: Eukaryota; Viridiplantae; Streptophyta; Magnoliopsida; Arecales; Arecaceae.
UCGAGAAUUGGCCGCAACAGAUUGGCGUGCCUGAUAGGGAAAGAAAAUCCAAUCAUCAUGGCGAAAAUGAAAGCCCGAAACAUUUCCACCAGCUCUAUCCGGCAAUCUUUCCGUCGGAAAGAUCUCCCAUCUCCACCAGCAGAGCCCAGAUCCUUCUUUCUGGUCAUCACCGCGGACCCUCAGCAAUUUGCUGCUUUAGUGCAGCAGGUGAAAACACUGACGAAGGCAAUACAC